Molecule: transfer RNA, 58 nt
Filed under: Cephalochlamys namaquensis
Lineage: Eukaryota; Metazoa; Platyhelminthes; Cestoda; Pseudophyllidea; Cephalochlamydidae
Description: tRNA-Arg
Source: RNAcentral
UAGCGUAAAUAGUGUUUAUGUUACGGCCAUAAAACAGAUAUCUAGUAUCAUACGCUUA